GAUGAACGCUGGCGGCGUGCUUAAUACAUGCAAGUCGAGCGAACGGACGAGAAGCUUGCUUUUCUGAUGUUAGCGGAGGACGGGUGAGUAACACGUGGAUAACCUACUUAUAAGACGGGGAUAACUUCGGGAAAGCGGAGCUAAUAGCGGAUAAGAUUUUGAACCGCAUGGGUCAUAAGUGAAAGACGGUCUUGCUGUCACUUAUAGAUGGAUACGCGCUGCAUUAGCUGGUUGGGAAGGUAAUGGCCUACCAAGGCAACGAGGCGUAACCGACCUGAGAGACUGAUCGCCCACCCGGGAACUGAGACAGCGACCAGGCUCCUACGAGAGGCAGCAGACGGGAAUCGUCCGCAAUGGGCGAAAGUCUGACGGAGCAACGCCGCGUGUGUGAUGACGGCGUUCGGUUCGUAAAACUCUGUUAUUAGGGAUGAACAUAUGUGUACGUAGCUGUGCACAUCUUGACGGUACCUAGUCAGAAAGCAACGGCUAACUACGUG
RNAcentral lists this ribosomal RNA (497 nucleotides) under uncultured bacterium. RNAcentral's name for it is "partial 16S ribosomal RNA". It matches the Rfam family "Bacterial small subunit ribosomal RNA", at positions 28 to 507 of the family's 1533-position model. The record is from RNAcentral.